RNAcentral lists this ribosomal RNA (274 nucleotides) under uncultured bacterium. Its description in RNAcentral is "partial 16S ribosomal RNA". It matches the Rfam family "Archaeal small subunit ribosomal RNA", at positions 473 to 747 of the family's 1478-position model. The record is from RNAcentral.
AAACCAGCACCUCAAGUGGUCAGGAUGAUUAUUGGGCCUAAAGCAUCCGUAGCCUGCUCUGUAAGUUUUCGGUUAAAUCUGUACGCUUAACGUACAGGCUGCCGGAAAUACGGCAGAGCUAGGGAGUGGGAGAGGUAGACGGUACUCGGGAGGAAGUGGUAAAAUGCUUUGAUCUCUCGAUGACCACCUGUGGCGAAGGCGGUCUACCAGAACACGUCCGACGGUGAGGGAUGAAAGCUGGGGGAGCAAACCGGAUUAGAAACCCGAGUAGUCC